CAUUAGAUGACUGAAAGUAAGUAAUGGUCUCUUAAACCACUCAAUAGUAAAUUAACGACUACUUCUAAUGG
RNAcentral lists this transfer RNA (71 nucleotides) under Gametis jucunda. Its description in RNAcentral is "tRNA-Lys". The record is from RNAcentral. Lineage: Eukaryota; Metazoa; Arthropoda; Insecta; Coleoptera; Scarabaeidae.